UACGUAGGGUGCGAGCGUUGCCCGGAUUUAUUGGGCGUAAAGGGCGCGUAGGCGGCUUGGCAAGUGGAAGGUGAAAUCCCUCGGCUUAACCGAGGAACUGCCCUCCAAACUGCUUCGCUUGAGACCGGGAGAGGUGAGUGGAAUUCCCAGUGUAGCGGUGAAAUGCGUAGAUAUUGGGAGGAACACCAGUGGCGAAGGCGGCUCACUGGACCGGUACUGACGCUGAUGCGCGAAAGCGUGGGGAGCAAACGGG
RNAcentral lists this ribosomal RNA (253 nucleotides) under uncultured bacterium. Its description in RNAcentral is "partial 16S ribosomal RNA". It matches the Rfam family "Bacterial small subunit ribosomal RNA", at positions 524 to 776 of the family's 1533-position model. The record is from RNAcentral.